AACGUAGGGGGCGAGCGUUAUCCGGAUUUACUGGGCGUAAAGCGCAUGUAGGCGGUUGGGAAAGUUGGACGUGAAAGCUCCCGGCUUAACUGGGAGAGGUCGUUCGAUACUACCCGGCUGGAGGUUGGAAGAGGAGAGUGGAAUUCCCGGUGUAGUGGUGGAAUGCGUAGAUAUCGGGAGGAACACCAGUGGCGAAAGCGGCUCUCUGGACCAAUUCUGACGCUGAGAUGCGAAAGCGUGGGGAGCAAAC
RNAcentral lists this ribosomal RNA (250 nucleotides) under uncultured bacterium. Its description in RNAcentral is "partial 16S ribosomal RNA". It matches the Rfam family "Bacterial small subunit ribosomal RNA", at positions 524 to 773 of the family's 1533-position model. The record is from RNAcentral.